ACAACUGAUAGGUAGUGAUCAAAGUCAAUCUUAAAGACAGGACUUACCAUGUUUUUGGUACUACUUUCUCUUUGACAUUUUCUCUGUGGAUACUCUUUGACCUUGGAACUAUUUUAUUUUUGAAUUGGCGUCAUGAGUAUUUCAAAUGACUAGCUAAUCAUCACCAUUCGAAACCAAGGAAAACGGUAAAAUGAUUCUAAAAUAAUGAUUAUUAUGAGCGUGGGAUUUUUUGAACCUUAUGCAUUUGAGUGACAUCAUGGAGAUAAUCCACAUUGGAAACCACUCUGACUGCAGGGCAAUGCAAGUCAAAUGACACUGUAGCCACAUUCAAGCCAUUCUAACCAGCUAUUUUAUCAUCAAACCACACCCAUCUCACCUGUUCAAGUCUCUUCCACUCUUUCCCUCUCAUUCUGUCUCUUUUCCAUCUCUGUCUAUUCCUCACUUAACAACUCACUCAACUGUGUUUACAUCUAUUAGUGCACUUUGGAUCCAAACAGAAUAAAAUGGGCUGCUUCACAUUUGUCAAAGUUGUGAUGGUUUUGUUCAACUUGCUUAUCUGCCUGGCAGGCAUGUGUAUGGCAUCUGUAGGGAUAUGGGUGACUUUGAAUACAGAUGCCUUCAUGGAAGUUUUGCCACCCUUUACUGAUGAGUUCCUGAGUCAUGUCAAUGUGGGAAUCUUCAGCAUCACUAUUGGAGCAGUUAUGACUCUACUCGGAAUGCUUGGGUGCUGCGGAGCUCAGAAAGAGAGCAAAUGCCUUCUCAUAAUGUUCUUCUCCAUCAUCCUGAUCAUUUGCAUUGCUGAGGCGGCAGCUGCAAUAGUAUCACUGGUUUAUUCUUCAUAU
This is a non-coding RNA of Pimephales promelas (fathead minnow), 842 nucleotides long. NCBI's taxonomy places the organism in Eukaryota, Metazoa, Chordata, Actinopteri, Cypriniformes, Leuciscidae. The record is from RefSeq and is a predicted model, not a curated record.